UACGUAGGGAGCGAGCGUUGUCCGGAUUUACUGGGUGUAAAGGGUGCGUAGGCGGCAAUGCAAGUCAGGCGUGAAAGCUCGGGGCUUAACCCCGAAACUGCGCUUGAAACUGUGUUGCUUGAGUGAAGUAGAGGUAGGCGGAAUUCCCGGUGUAGCGGUGAAAUGCGUAGAGAUCGGGAGGAACACCAGUGGCGAAGGCGGCCUACUGGGCUUUAACUGACGCUGAGACACGAAAGCAUGGGUAGCAAACAGG
RNAcentral lists this ribosomal RNA (253 nucleotides) under uncultured bacterium. RNAcentral's name for it is "partial 16S ribosomal RNA". It matches the Rfam family "Bacterial small subunit ribosomal RNA", at positions 524 to 776 of the family's 1533-position model. The record is from RNAcentral.